CUACGGGACGCACCAGUGAGGAAUAUUGCACAAUGGGGGGAACCCUGAUGCAGCAACGCCGCGUGGAGGAUGACGCAUUUCGGUGUGUAAACUCCUUUUAUAUGUCAAGAAAAUGACGGUAGCAUAUGAAUAAGCACCGGCUAACUCCGUGCCAGCAGCCGCGGUAAUACGGAGGGUGCAAGCGUUACUCGGAAUCACUGGGCGUAAAGGAUGCGUAGGCGGGUUGGAAAGUCAGGUGUGAAAUCCUACAGCUUAACUGUAGAACUGCACUUGAAACUUCUAAUCUAGAGUAUGGGAGGGGGAAAUGGAAUUAGUGGUGUAGGGGUAAAAUCCGUAGAUAUCACUAGGAAUACCUAAAGCGAAGGCGAUCUCCUGGAACAUUACUGACGCUAAGGCGUGAAAGCGUGGGGAGCAAACAGGAUUAGAUACCCCGGUAGUC
RNAcentral lists this ribosomal RNA (439 nucleotides) under uncultured bacterium. Its description in RNAcentral is "partial 16S ribosomal RNA". It matches the Rfam family "Bacterial small subunit ribosomal RNA", at positions 339 to 795 of the family's 1533-position model. The record is from RNAcentral.